CGCUACAAUAUUCCACAAGACAACCGAAUUUAAGAAAGAGAAACUAGCCUGGGUUGGAAUUAGGUGAGGAGAGUUUGUUGCGGAUGUUGGAAGAAGUGAGGAAUCCAUGGAGCAAGAAGAGUGCAGUGAUUACGUUAAUGAAGCACACCACUAUGGUUGCGUUCCUAAAGGAGAACCUGAGCCUCCACCAUUACUGCCCUUCCAUUUUUGCUUUGCUUUUGGGAUUACGGCAAGUGCUCCAAGAUUUUCCUUUUACCCCUAAAUUCACGGCAUCACGCUGAGUGGUGUGUAGGACCUGAGUCUAAAUGAGACCUAUCGCCACUACCUGUGGGAAAGAAACUAGCUAGCUACCAGCCAGUCACUCUUUCUAAUUAGGGUUUCAAUUCUCAAUUUCUCGUUCAGAACAAUUGUGUUUGUAAAGCCGUAAAGGUGAGAAUUAAUUUCUCAAUUUCCC
Molecule: long non-coding RNA, 454 nt
Filed under: Arachis ipaensis
Lineage: Eukaryota; Viridiplantae; Streptophyta; Magnoliopsida; Fabales; Fabaceae
Description: long non-coding RNA (AIPA_LNC002016)
Source: RNAcentral